Molecule: non-coding RNA, 72 nt
Organism: Trichonephila inaurata madagascariensis
Lineage: Eukaryota; Metazoa; Arthropoda; Arachnida; Araneae; Nephilidae
Source: the annotation of a GenBank genome assembly
UACCUGUAGCGCGAUGGAUAGCACGUUGGACUUCUAUUCCAAAUGUCAUGGGUUCGAAUCCCAACUGGGAAG